GGAGAGAUGUCCGAGUUGGCUUAAGGAGCACGCUUGGAAAGCGUGUGUUAGGGGAAACUCUACCAGGGGUUCGAAUCCCCUUCUCUCCG
This 89-nucleotide transfer RNA is filed under the name Clostridium bornimense. It matches the Rfam family "tRNA". Rfam says of the family: Transfer RNA (tRNA) molecules are approximately 80 nucleotides in length. Lineage: Bacteria; Bacillati; Bacillota; Clostridia; Eubacteriales; Clostridiaceae. The record is from Rfam by way of RNAcentral.